Molecule: ribosomal RNA, 425 nt
Filed under: uncultured cyanobacterium
Lineage: Bacteria; Bacillati; Cyanobacteriota
Description: bacterial SSU rRNA
Rfam family: Bacterial small subunit ribosomal RNA
Source: RNAcentral
GGGGAAUCUUCCGCAAUGGGCGAAAGCCUGACGGAGCAAUACCGCGUGAGGGAGGAAGGCUUUUGGGUUGUAAACCUCUUUUCUCAAAGAAGAAGAAAGUGACGGUACUUGAGGAAUAAGCAUCGGCUAACUCCGUGCCAGCAGCCGCGGUAAUACGGAGGAUGCAAGCGUUAUCCGGAAUCAUUGGGCGUAAAGAGUCCGUAGGUGGCUUCUCAAGUCUGCCGUUAAAGACCAGAGCUUAACUCUGGAGGAGCGGUGGAAACUGAGAAGCUAGAGUUCGGUAGGGGUAGAGGGAAUUCCCAGUGUAGCGGUGAAAUGCGUAGAGAUUGGGAAGAACACCAGUGGCGAAGGCGCUCUACUGGACCGAAACUGACACUGAGGGACGAAAGCUAGGGGAGCGAAAGGGAUUAGAUACCCCUGUAGUC